UACAGAGGUCUCAAGCGUUGUUCGGAUUCAUUGGGCGUAAAGGGUGCGUAGGUGGCGGGGUAAGUCGGGUGUGAAAUUUCGGAGCUUAACUCCGAAACUGCAUUCGAUACUGCCGUGCUUGAGGACUGGAGAGGAGACUGGAAUUUACGGUGUAGCAGUGAAAUGCGUAGAUAUCGUAAGGAAGACCAGUGGCGAAGGCGGGUCUCUGGACAGUUCCUGACACUGAGACACGAAGGCCAGGGGAGCAAACGGG
RNAcentral lists this ribosomal RNA (253 nucleotides) under uncultured bacterium. Its description in RNAcentral is "partial 16S ribosomal RNA". It matches the Rfam family "Bacterial small subunit ribosomal RNA", at positions 524 to 776 of the family's 1533-position model. The record is from RNAcentral.